AUUAAAGGAAACAGUUCAAUCUUUAUCUUGGGAGUUCCUGACUGUCUCAGAAAUGAGGAAUUUGAUAUCUUAAGUUCUCAGACGUUGAGAAAGAAGGGCC
RNAcentral lists this small RNA (100 nucleotides) under Pongo abelii (Sumatran orangutan). Its description in RNAcentral is "processed transcript". The record is from RNAcentral. Lineage: Eukaryota; Metazoa; Chordata; Mammalia; Primates; Hominidae.